Non-coding RNA from Camellia sinensis, 1634 nucleotides. The record is from RefSeq and is a predicted model, not a curated record. NCBI's taxonomy places the organism in Eukaryota, Viridiplantae, Streptophyta, Magnoliopsida, Ericales, Theaceae.
GAGAUGUAUCAAGUUGGCUACACAAAUUGUUUUUCCGCACUGGCCAGGUAAGAUGUACACUUUCAAUUGACUCUGCAAUCUAGUUUAUUCAAUAAAGAUGCAAAUAUUUAGUUAAUCCUACUAAGGCCUUCAUCCUAGCAGGGUAAAAGUUGAAAAUUUUCUGUGCAUGUGGACGGGUUGGCCCACAUUGAGUAAAAACAGCUUGAGUUGAGCUGCCUUUUUGCAUAACUAAAGUCAGUAGUAGCUUGAUGAUAAAAUAGAUAUCACACCUUCAAAAAUAUCCAAAUGGAUACGUUGCAAAAUAUUGGUAUUUGCUUUGGAAGACCAUAGAAAAAUAUAUAAAUAUCAAAGUAAAAAAUCAAUGAAAAAGGAUAUAUUCAGGUCUUGAACGUACAGAUAUAUUGCAAAUUUCAUGGAUUGAAUUUUGUUUUUUUUUUUCUGAUUUUUUAGAUAACCAAAUAAAAGUUUUAAAAUUUUUUAAAAAUUGAAGUCAGAAUUUAAGAAUCAAACAUGGUGAUAAGUUUUUGUUACAGUAUUAAAAUUUAUAAUUUUUUUUGUAUUUGAUGUUAUAGUAGUUAAAUUUUUAUUUUUGUAUUUGAUUGAGAUGUUUAAUUAUCCAUCUGGGAUUUGAUGACUAACAAAAAAAAUGUUAUAUUUGAUGCUAUAGUAGUUAAAUUUUCAGAAAAGAUUGGUAGCUCGAAUCUGUGGCUCGAAAAAUGGCUCAAAUUUUAUAUGCACUCACAUAUCUUUCUACACCUCCAUUGUUCAUCUCAGUUUACCUUUCACAUAUCUUUAAUGUUAUGAAAUUGUACUUUGUAGUUCUAAUUUAAGCUCAUUUACUUGACUAUGUUAGUCUCAUUUAUAGGGGCUGCUAUGAUUUUCCAUGGGUUUUAAUACUUUAUUGCAAGCCAGUAAUGGAAAUUUCAAUUUUUCAUUUCUUUCAGUGACCGGACAAAAUAUUAUUUGUUGGCAUCCUUUGUUCUACACAUAAAGCAUAGUGAGUCCAAGGAUUCUGCUAUAAGCCCAAGAAUUUUGUUGUCUGAUCCUGCAGGUGAACAAGACCAUCUCCUUGUCCUAGAACAUUUUACGAUCUCUCUUACUCAAAAUAAGUUUGAGUCUAUGAGUGGAGAGGUUUUUGAGUGAUUUUUACCCAAAUUUAAAUUUGAUAUAGGUUUCAGUCAAGGGUUGGAGAUGCCAUUAUAUCACUGUGUAUUCUAUAUUUAAUUUUCGUUUUGAGACUGAAUAGUUAUUGUUUGUCUUUUAUUUGUAAAUAUUUUAGAUUCAUCAUGCUAUGACAGCUCAUUUAUCUCACUAUUUUGUAUAUACGGGCCAUAAUUUGUAUCUAACGGGAAAUCAACUAAGGAGUGACUGCAGUGAUGUCCCGAUCAUACAAGCAUUGCAGAGAGGUGUUAGAGUAUUUGAACUGGAUAUCUGGCCGAGUUCCACAAAAGAUAAUGUCAAUGUUCUUCAUGGAAGGAAACUCUGGCCAACCUCCCAAGCGUUUAGAAGUUUCUAGGAGCUCAAAUAGAGAAGAUGAUGAAGAAUGGUCGCUGAUAUCUGAAAUGCACUCAAGGUUAGAAAUUUCUUAGAGAGAUGCAAAAUAUGGUCAAAGAAUUCAAGAAUUUAAUUUUUCA